GACAGAGGGGGCAAGCGUUGCUCGGAAUCACUGGGCGUAAAGGGCGCGUAGGCGGGAUGGCAAGUCGGUCGUGAAAUCCCUCGGCUCAACUGAGGAGCGUCGGCCGAUACUGCCGUUCUUGAGGAAUGCAGAGGAGACUGGAAUUCCCGGUGUAGCGGUGAAAUGUGUAGAGAUCGGGAGGAACACCGGUGGCGAAGGCGGGUCUCUGGGCAUCUCCUGACGCUGAGGCGCGAAAGCGUGGGGAGCAAACGGG
Molecule: ribosomal RNA, 253 nt
Filed under: uncultured bacterium
Lineage: Bacteria
Description: partial 16S ribosomal RNA
Rfam family: Bacterial small subunit ribosomal RNA
Source: RNAcentral